RNAcentral lists this non-coding RNA (100 nucleotides) under Schistocerca americana (American grasshopper). The record is from RNAcentral. Lineage: Eukaryota; Metazoa; Arthropoda; Insecta; Orthoptera; Acrididae.
GUGUUGUAUGAAAGGAGAGACGGUUAGCACUCCCCUAGACAAGGAUGGAACACAUAUAAGGUUGAGGCACCGCUGAGUUAUCAGCGCUUGACCCAUUUUA